AACUCUGUGGGGAAUAGGUCCACAAAGAAGGAAAGACGAUCCAUCGGAAUAAUACACUCACUAGGAACAGAGACUCUAAACGGACUCUCGUGGGGAAAAGAAAAAAAAAAGAAAAUGCGUGAGCAGGACACGACUCUGAAUUAGGGGAAAAAAGAACUAGACACUGCGUGAACAAAGCACGAUUGGACUAGAGACCUCGCUGGGGAGUGAAGGACUCGCACUGGGGAAAAGAAGAAUUCCAAAGGAGGACACAUCCAUUGGAAA
This 264-nucleotide long non-coding RNA is filed under the name Lathyrus oleraceus (garden pea). Its description in RNAcentral is "Pisum sativum (pea) long non-coding RNA (PSAT_LNC024284)". The record is from RNAcentral. Lineage: Eukaryota; Viridiplantae; Streptophyta; Magnoliopsida; Fabales; Fabaceae.